Molecule: non-coding RNA, 372 nt
Organism: Vigna umbellata (rice bean)
Lineage: Eukaryota; Viridiplantae; Streptophyta; Magnoliopsida; Fabales; Fabaceae
Source: RefSeq, a predicted model, not a curated record
UAACUAGAUUGUGUGACAUUCAGAAGCCCAGGUACUAGUUAGUGGAAGUGACUUCUAUGCUUUCCCACGUCUUGAUCCAAAAAGUGAAAGAAUAGCUUGGAUUCAGUGGAGUCAUCCAUACAUGCCAUGGGAUAAAUCAGAACUUUGGGUUGGCUAUAUUUCUGAAAAAGGAGAGAUCUACAAGCAGGUGUCUGUUGCGGGGAAUGAUCCUGCACUGGUGGAGUCCCCAACUGAGCCCAAGUGGUCUUCUGAUGGGGAGCUGUUUUUCAUCACGGAUAGGGCAAAUGGUUUUUGGAAUCUCCAUAAAUGGGUAAUUCUUUAACUUUUAUUUCCCGCAAAAGCAUUUGUGUAUAGAGUGGGUUUUUAUUUACU